GAUGAACGCUGGCGGCGCGCCUAACACAUGCAAGUCGAACGGACUUUAGAGAGCUUGCUCUCGAAAAGUUAGUGGCGGACGGGUGAGUAACACGUGAGCAACCUACCUUUCAGUGGGGAAUAACAUUUGGAAACAGAUGCUAAUACCGCAUAUAAUUUUGAAGUGGCAUCACUUUAAAAUGAAAGAUUUAUCGCUGAGAGAUGGGCUCGCGUCUGAUUAGAUAGUUGGUGGGGUAAUGGCCUACCAAGUCGACGAUCAGUAGCCGGACUGAGAGGUUGAUCGGCCACAUUGGGACUGAGACACGGCCCAGACUCCUACGGGAGGCAGCAGUGGGGAUAUUGCACAAUGGGGGAAACCCUGAUGCAGCGACGCCGCGUGAGUGAAGGCGGUCUUCGGAUUGUAAAGCUCUGUCGACAGGGGACGAAACAAAUGACGGUACCUGUCAAGAAAGCCACGGCUAACUACGUGCCAGCAGCCGCCGCCGUAACACC
This 491-nucleotide ribosomal RNA is filed under the name uncultured Oscillospiraceae bacterium. RNAcentral describes it as "bacterial SSU rRNA". It matches the Rfam family "Bacterial small subunit ribosomal RNA", at positions 28 to 527 of the family's 1533-position model. The record is from RNAcentral. Lineage: Bacteria; Bacillati; Bacillota; Clostridia; Eubacteriales; Oscillospiraceae.